GGACGGGUGAGUAACGCGUAGGUAACCUGCCUUGUAGCGGGGGAUAACUAUUGGAAACGAUAGCUAAUACCGCAUAACGUCGCAAGACCAAAGAGGGGGACCUUCGGGCCUCUUGCCAUCAGAUGUGCCCAGAUGGGAUUAGCUAGUAGGUGGGGUAACGGCUCACCUAGGCGACGAUACAUAGCCGACCUGAGAGGGUGAUCGGCCACACUGGGACUGAGACACGGCCCAGACUCCUACGGGAGGCAGCA
RNAcentral lists this ribosomal RNA (251 nucleotides) under uncultured bacterium. RNAcentral describes it as "partial 16S ribosomal RNA". It matches the Rfam family "Bacterial small subunit ribosomal RNA", at positions 100 to 353 of the family's 1533-position model. The record is from RNAcentral.